GCCUUCGUGGUGUAAUGGUCAGCACACUGAGCCGGUAUUUCAGAGGUCCGUGGUUCGAACGUGGUUCGAUUCCCGGCGAAGGCA
RNAcentral lists this transfer RNA (84 nucleotides) under Stegodyphus mimosarum. It matches the Rfam family "tRNA". Rfam says of the family: Transfer RNA (tRNA) molecules are approximately 80 nucleotides in length. Their secondary structure includes four short double-helical elements and three loops (D, anti-codon, and T loops). Further hydrogen bonds mediate the characteristic L-shaped molecular structure. tRNAs have two regions of fundamental functional importance: the anti-codon, which is responsible for specific mRNA codon recognition, and the 3' end, to which the tRNAs corresponding amino acid is attached (by aminoacyl-tRNA synthetases). tRNAs cope with the degeneracy of the genetic code in two manners: having more than one tRNA (with a specific anti-codon) for a particular amino acid; and 'wobble' base-pairing, i.e. permitting non-standard base-pairing at the 3rd anti-codon position. The record is from Rfam by way of RNAcentral. Lineage: Eukaryota; Metazoa; Arthropoda; Arachnida; Araneae; Eresidae.